RNAcentral lists this ribosomal RNA (484 nucleotides) under uncultured bacterium. RNAcentral's name for it is "partial 16S ribosomal RNA". It matches the Rfam family "Bacterial small subunit ribosomal RNA", at positions 29 to 507 of the family's 1533-position model. The record is from RNAcentral.
AUUGAACGCUAGCGGGAUGCUUUACACAUGCAAGUCGAACGGCAGCGCGGACUUCGGUCUGGCGGCGAGGGGUGAACGGGUAAGUAAUGUAUCGGAACGUGCCCAGUAGCGGGGGAUAACUACGCGAAAGCGUAGCUAAUACCGCAUACGCCCUAAGGGGGAAAGCAGGGGAUCGUAAGACCUUGCACUAUUGGAGUGGCCGAUAUCGGAUUAGCUAGUUGGUGAGGUAACGGCUCACCAAGGCGACGAUCCGUAGCUGGUGUGAGUGGACGACCAGCGACACUGGGACUGAGAAACGGCGCAGACUCCUACGGGGGGAAGCAGUGGGGAAUUUUGGAGAAUGGGGGGAACCCUGCUCCAGCAGUGACGCGUGUGGGAUGAAGGACUUCGGGUGGUAAAGCACUUUUGGCAGGAAAGAAACGUCGCGGGCUAAUACCCCGUGGAACUGACGGUACCUGCAGAAUAAGCACCGGCUAACUACGUG